GGAAUUUCCAAGCGGAGAUCUUUUAUGAGUUUUCACUUCUUUUGUCUAAACACAUUGAAACCUGAAGGCCAGAUACUCAGCUGGUAAAUCAGCUUAAUUCCACUGACGUCAGUGGAGCAGCGCCAACAGCAGAUCUGACCCGCUUCUUUAAUCUGAUCACUUGUCCAUCUCGUUUAUUUCAGAUUACAUCAGAGUGAGCAGAGCCUUACCUCAUUCACCAUCACCUUGAUAUAGGCAUAGUCUUGUGAGUCUUCUCAGAAGACUAUGGUCACUGAGAAAGAUGUAAAAAGCAAGAGUAGAAUCCAGGCCUACACCAUGUGGAAAAUGCAUGGAGCAAAGGAGUGAUUUCUUCAGUGCUGCCAUUCCAUUGGAGAUUGCAGUAGAAUCUCCUUCCAUGAUAGUCACCAUGCUGGAGUAAGUUCUCUGGUUGUGCUUCCUGUCAUCAGGUGUCACUCCAUCCAGAUGUCUGCAAGGAGAAGGAAGAUGAUAUGGCAGAAGACACUUGCAGGAAAAGAGUGGCAAGACUUAAUGGACUUUCAGAAGGCCAUACCACAUCUUGGAUUUCAAGAAGAGACUUUAGGUCCUGUGAAUAAGCCUAGCUAACCUUCUAGUCUAGCCUACGUUUUUCUAAAUAACAAUUAAAUGGAGGGACUAGAAGGGUUCUCAGGCUUAUGGGUUGGUUUAUCAUUUUAAAGAGUACUUUGACCUUGUCUAAUUUUAUAAACAAAAAGGUGGCCACUAUGAAAUUCAAAUGCCAUUUUUAAGAAAUGUGGGAAAACUGAAAUUUUCUCCUUUUCAUUUCUUUUCUCAGCGAAACAAACUUCAGGUGGCUUCUGUAAUGAAUGAAUCAGAGUAAGACUGUAAGGUGGCUGUGUUUGCCUACUGCAGUGCCACUGUGCCGGGUGUAUUAACACUACAGCGUGAAGAGUUUGGUCAGUUUGAAUUUAAGGACUUGUGAAAGAUUUCAAGAUAAAAAAGGAUGUAUAUUGGAAGCACAGUUACUGUAUCUAACUGAUCUAUUCGAACAAUCAUAUUAUAAAAUCAAAGUAUUUCCAUAUGAUUUUAUUCAACAACAGCUAUUCUACUUUAAUUUUACAUUCCCCAACUUCUCUGGAAUAGCUUUUCUAUGUAGAAAGGCUCUAGAAGGAUGGAAUUACAAAACAAAAAAAUAGAGAAUCUAAAAAGAUAUUUUUCUUAGUUUGAUCCAACAGAUAGCAACAUAAAUAAUGAAAUCUAUGGGAGGACUGAUCUGCUAUCCUCUUGUAUUGUGUUCUAUUUACAAAUGCACAGUUCAGUGAUGGACAGUGUCACUUAGUUCUGAAACGAUUAUCUGUACAGUGGGAAACACCUCCUCCUAGCAUUCAGAGUACAAUGUUGAUUUUCCCAUGAAGAGGAAGGCUUUGUUGCUGAUUCUGAGAGCUGAGACAUGGAGAAUCAGAUGACAGUUCACUCUGUUGACAAACAUCUUUGGUUAUAUCAUUUAUGGCCUGCAUCUAAACUUGUUUACAUGAAUGUAAAUGAGGAAUUGUCUCCAGUGAAACACAUGGAAGCAAGUGCUGUAUAAACAGUCAAUUUACUUUUUUCCUCCUGUAUUAUUUUUCUA
Phasianus colchicus (ring-necked pheasant) is the source of this 1603-nucleotide long non-coding RNA. The record is from Ensembl. Lineage: Eukaryota; Metazoa; Chordata; Aves; Galliformes; Phasianidae.